This is a long non-coding RNA of Mytilus californianus (California mussel), 698 nucleotides long. RefSeq lists it as uncharacterized. The record is from RefSeq and is a predicted model, not a curated record. Lineage: Eukaryota; Metazoa; Mollusca; Bivalvia; Mytilida; Mytilidae. The transcript has 3 exons.
CUUAAGUCAGGAAUCUGAUGUUCAGUAGUUGUCGUUUGUUGAUGUGGUUCAUAAGUGUUUCUCGUUUUUUAUAUAGAUUAGACCGUUGGUUUUCCUGUUUGAAUGGUUUUACACGUCAUUUUGGGGGCACUCUAUAGCUUGCUGUUCGGUGUUAUCCAAGGCUCUGGGUUGAAGACCUUACUUUGACCUAUAAUGGUUUACUUUUACAAAUUGUGACUUGGAUGGAGAGUUGUCUCAUUGGCACUGAUCCCACAUCUUCUUAUAUCUAUGUUUUAUUGUUUACAAAAUUGUUGUCUACUGUGGAUUAUUAUUUGUGGGAUACCAAUUUUCAUAGAUUUCAUGGGUAAAGGUGACCACUAAUUCAAAUGUUCCACAAAGUACUAAUUUUUGUUGAUUUCAUGGAUAUAGGUGACCACUAAUUCAAAUGUUCCACAAAGUACUAAUUUUUGUUGAUUUCAUGGAUAUAGGUGACCACUAAUUCAAAUGUUCCACAAAGUACUAAUUUUCAUGGAUUUCAUGGGUAUAGGUGACCACUAAUUCAAAUGUUCCACAAAGUACUAAUUUUCAUGGAUUUCAUGGGUAUAGGUGACCACUAAUUCAAAUGUUCCACAAAGUACUAAUUUUUGUGGAUUUCAUGGGUAUAGGUGACCACUAAUUCAAAUGUUCCAUAAAGUACUAAUUUUUGUUGAUUUCAUGGG